Molecule: ribosomal RNA, 778 nt
Filed under: uncultured Neocallimastigales
Lineage: Eukaryota; Fungi; Neocallimastigomycota; Neocallimastigomycetes; Neocallimastigales
Description: partial large subunit ribosomal RNA
Rfam family: Eukaryotic large subunit ribosomal RNA
Source: RNAcentral
GAGAGAGACAUGCGCGCAUAUCAAUAAGCGGAGGAAAAGAAACUAACUAGGAUUCCCUCAGUAACGGCGAGUGAAGCGGGAAGAGCUCAAAUUUGAAAUCUUCAAGGUUCUACCUUGACGAAUUGUAGUUUAAAGAAGUGUUUUCUGUUGGAGUUUUGGUAAAAGUUCUUUGGAAUAGGACAUCAUAGAGGGUGAGAAUCCCGUAUUUGACCAUUAUUUCCAACUUUGUGAUACACUUUCAAAGAGUCGGAUUGUUUGGGAAUGCAGUCCAAAAUGGGUGGUAAAUUUCAUCUAAAGCUAAAUACUGGCGAGAGACCGAUAGCGAACAAGUACCGUGAGGGAAAGAUGAAAAGAACUUUGAAAAGAGAGUUAAACAGUACGUGAAAUUGUCAAAAGGGAAGCGUUUGACACCAGUGUUGUUUUCUCGAAAAUCAAUUAAAAAAUGGCAGGAUUUUGUGUUGUAUUGACUUUAUCAGCUUUCUGCACUCUUUUUCUUGUCUUUUUUAAUGCACUUUUCGUUUAACAAGUCAACAUCAAUUUCUUUUGUUGUAAAAGGGUCAUUGGAAGGUGGCUUUAGCUUUCGGAUAAAGUGUUUAUAGCCUUUGGCCUCUGCAAUCGGAGAGAUUGAGGUCUGCAGCGUAGAUCCUUCGGGGUUAGAUACAUUUGUGCUAAGUUAUAGCCUUUUCAUAGACAACAUUGUUGACUAUGAUCAGUCAUGUAGCUUACUCGCUUAUGUCAUUUUACCUACGCUUAGGAUGUUGACAGCAGUAUAGACUGU